Molecule: ribosomal RNA, 622 nt
Filed under: uncultured bacterium
Lineage: Bacteria
Description: bacterial SSU rRNA
Rfam family: Bacterial small subunit ribosomal RNA
Source: RNAcentral
UGCAAGUCGAACGAAAAGAGGGAAAGAGCUUGCUCUUUCCGGAAUUGAGUGGCAAACGGGUGAGUAACACGUAAACAACCUGCCUUCAGGAUGGGGACAACAGACGGAAACGACUGCUAAUACCGAAUAAGUUCCAAGAGCCGCAUGGCCCAUGGAAGAAAAGGUGGCCUCUACCUGUAAGCUAUCGCCUGAAGAGGGGUUUGCGUCUGAUUAGCUGGUUGGAGGGGUAACGGCCCACCAAGGCGACGAUCAGUAGCCGGUCUGAGAGGAUGAACGGCCACACUGGAACUGAGACACGGUCCAGACUCCUACGGGAGGCAGCAGUGGGGAAUCUUCCGCAAUGGGCGAAAGCCUGACGGAGCAACGCCGCGUGAGUGAUGACGGCCUUCGGGUUGUAAAACUCUGUGAUCCGGGACGAAAAGGCAGAGUGCGAAGAACAAACUGCAUUGACGGUACCGGAAAAGCAAGCCACGGCUAACUACGUGCCAGCAGCCGCGGUAAUACAUAGGUGGCAAGCGUUGUCCGGAAUUAUUGGGCGUAAAGCGCGCGCAGGCGGCUUCCCAAGUCCCUCUUAAAAGUGCGGGGCUUAACCCCGUGAUGGGAAGGAAACUGGGAAGCUGGA